Molecule: ribosomal RNA, 503 nt
Filed under: uncultured bacterium
Lineage: Bacteria
Description: bacterial SSU rRNA
Rfam family: Bacterial small subunit ribosomal RNA
Source: RNAcentral
GAUCAUGGCUCAGGAUGAACGCUAGCUACAGGCUUAACACAUGCAAGUCGAGGGGAAACGACAUCGAAAGCUUGCUUUGAUGGCGUCGACCGGCGCACGGGUGAGUAACGCGUAUCCAACCUGCCCACCACUUGGGGAUAACCUUGCGAAAGUAAGACUAAUACCCAAUGAUAUCCCACGAAGGCAUCCGAAUGGGAUUAAAGAUUUAUCGGUGAUGGAUGGGGAUGCGUCUGAUUAGCUUGUUGGCGGGGUAACGGCCCACCAAGGCAACGAUCAGUAGGGGUUCUGAGAGGAAGGUCCCCCACAUUGGAACUGAGACACGGUCCAAACUCCUACGGGAGGCAGCAGUGAGGAAUAUUGGUCAAUGGGCGAGAGCCUGAACCAGCCAAGUAGCGUGCAGGAUGACGGCCCUAUGGGUUGUAAACUGCUUUUAUAAGGGAAUAAAGUGAGUCUCGUGAGACUUUUUGCAUGUACCUUAUGAAUAAGGACCGGCUAAUUCCGUG